This 320-nucleotide unclassified non-coding RNA is filed under the name uncultured fungus. Its description in RNAcentral is "partial contains small subunit ribosomal RNA, internal transcribed spacer 1, and 5.8S ribosomal RNA". The stretch from base 1 to 73 matches the Rfam family "Eukaryotic small subunit ribosomal RNA", at positions 1759 to 1831 of the family's 1831-position model. Lineage: Eukaryota; Fungi. The record is from RNAcentral.
GCAAACUUGGUCAUUUAGAGGAAGUAAAAGUCGUAACAAGGUUUCCGUAGGUGAACCUGCGGAAGGAUCAUUAAUGAAUGGUUUUUGCUUGAAGGGCUGUAGCUGGCCUGCAUGUGUAGGCAUGUGCACGCCUGGAUUGUCAGUGUUAUCCACCCAACUCACAUGUGCACAACUGUAGCGGCCAGGCCUGCUACGUUUGUUUGUUCAAUAGAACCUUGGUGUAUUUUUGCACUAAAUAAAAAGACUUUUGGGGACCAGACGAUGUUAUAACAACUUUCAGCAACGGAUCUCUUGGCUCUCGCAUCGAUGAAGAACGCAGC